This 490-nucleotide ribosomal RNA is filed under the name uncultured Candida. RNAcentral's name for it is "SSU rRNA". It matches the Rfam family "Eukaryotic small subunit ribosomal RNA", at positions 1055 to 1570 of the family's 1831-position model. Lineage: Eukaryota; Fungi; Ascomycota; Saccharomycetes; Saccharomycetales. The record is from RNAcentral.
GGGCGGCGUUCAUUUAUUGACGCGCUCGGCACCUUACGAGAAAUCAAAGUCUUUGGGUUCUGGGGGGAGUAUGUCGCAAGGCUGAAACUUAAAGGAAUUGACGGAAGGGCACCACCAGGAGUGGAGCCUGCGGCUUAAUUUGACUCAACACGGGGAAACUCACCAGGUCCAGACACAAUAAGGAUUGACAGAUUGAGAGCUCUUUCUUGAUUUUGUGGGUGGUGGUGCAUGGCCGUUCUUAGUUGGUGGAGUGAUUUGUCUGCUUAAUUGCGAUAACGAACGAGACCUUAACCUCUAAAUAGGGCUGUUAGCAUUUUGCUGGCGAGCGCUUCUUAGGGGGACUAUUGACUUGAAGUCGAUGGAAGUUUGAGGCAAUAACAGGUCUGUGAUGCCCUUAGACGUUCUGGGCCGCACGCGCGCUACACUGACGGAGCCAAGCGAGUUGACCUUGGCCGAGAGGUCUGGGAAAUCUUGAGAUCAUCCGUCGUGC